UACGAAGGGGGCUAGCGUUGCUCGGAAUUACUGGGCGUAAAGCGCACGUCGGCGGAUUGUUAAGUCGGGGGUGAAAUCCUGGAGCUCAACUCCAGAACUGCCUUCGAUACUGGCGAUCUCGAGUUCGGGAGAGGUGAGUGGAACUGCGAGUGUAGAGGUGAAAUUCGUAGAUAUUCGCAAGAACACCAGUGGCGAAGGCGGCUCACUGGCCCGAUACUGACGCUGAGGUGCGAAAGCGUGGGGAGCAAACAGG
RNAcentral lists this ribosomal RNA (253 nucleotides) under uncultured bacterium. RNAcentral describes it as "partial 16S ribosomal RNA". It matches the Rfam family "Bacterial small subunit ribosomal RNA", at positions 524 to 776 of the family's 1533-position model. The record is from RNAcentral.